AACGCUAGCUACAGGCUUAACACAUGCAAGUCGAGGGGCAGCAUGAUUGAAGCUUGCUUCAAUCGAUGGCGACCGGCGCACGGGUGAGUAACACGUAUCCAACCUGCCGAUAACUCGGGGAUAGCCUUUCGAAAGAAAGAUUAAUACCCGAUAGCAUAGUAUUUCCGCAUGGUUUCACUAUUAAAGAAUUUCGGUUAUCGAUGGGGAUGCGUUCCAUUAGAUAGUUGGCGGGGUAACGGCCCACCAAGUCAACGAUGGAUAGGGGUUCUGAGAGGAAGGUCCCCCACAUUGGAACUGAGACACGGUCCAAACUCCUACGGGAGGCAGCAGUGAGGAAUAUUGGUCAAUGGACGAGAGUCUGAACCAGCCAAGUAGCGUGAAGGAUGACUGCCCUAUGGGUUGUAAACUUCUUUUAUACGGGAAUAAAGUGGAGUAUGCAUACUCCUUUGUAUGUACCGUAUGAAUAAGGAUCGGCUAACUCCGUGCCAGCAGCCGCGGUAAUACGGAGGAUCCGAGCGUUAUCCGGAUUUAUUGGGUUUAAAGGGAGCGUAGGCGGGUGCUUAAGUCAGUUGUGAAAGUUUGCGGCUCAACCGUAAAAUUGCAGUUGAUACUGGGCGCCUUGAGUGCAGCAUAGGUAGGCGGAAUUCGUGGUGUAGCGGUGAAAUGCUUAGAUAUCACGAAGAACUCCGAUUGCGAAGGCAGCUUACUGGACUGUAACUGACGCUGAUGCUCGAA
RNAcentral lists this ribosomal RNA (735 nucleotides) under uncultured Bacteroidales bacterium. RNAcentral's name for it is "bacterial SSU rRNA". It matches the Rfam family "Bacterial small subunit ribosomal RNA", at positions 32 to 757 of the family's 1533-position model. The record is from RNAcentral. Lineage: Bacteria; Pseudomonadati; Bacteroidota; Bacteroidia; Bacteroidales.